This is a long non-coding RNA of Brassica rapa (field mustard), 4687 nucleotides long. RefSeq lists it as uncharacterized. The record is from RefSeq and is a predicted model, not a curated record. NCBI's taxonomy places the organism in Eukaryota, Viridiplantae, Streptophyta, Magnoliopsida, Brassicales, Brassicaceae.
UUAAUAAUUAAAACAUAACUUUAUUUUUCAUAUUUAAAGUAAAAAAACAAUCAUUUCUCGUAAAACAUAUGUUUAAGGAGUAUUCUGCAUUUUUUUUAAACGGAAAGUUUAUUAAUCUUUUGUUUAUCACUGAUUAUUCUUAGAAAAUCAUUAAACUCAAUAAUAUAAAAUUAAAUAUGUAACCUAUGUAGGUAUAUAAAAUAAAUGGCAUCAAAUAAAAUUUAUUUUUGAAUGAUUAUAAAAUACAUUAAUAAAGCUGUAAAUGUAAACACAAACCAAACAGAAGAAUUGCGAGCAUAACGAAACCAAUAAACCAAGGUUUGAAAGCAACUUUCAUUUUUGAUAAUGAAAUAAUGGUGUUUUAAAAAUUAGAACGACAUAGAAGUACAUUUAUAGAUGAAUCACAAAUUGAAACAAGUCUAAUUUAAGCUAUACAUCUUUUCAAAUUCCAAUAUAAACGGAUCUAGUUUGACAAAAACAAAAAAUCACAACCACUUGUUUUUAAAUUUAUUAAAUAAAAAUAGCCUUUUUAUAUUUAAUUUAAAGUAUUUUUGAUAUGCAUAAACAAUAAUUCGAUUAAGUCACAGAUUCAGAAUUUAUAUAAUAUAUAUAGUCUAUUAUAUAUGUUUGGAGUCUAUUUUAGAGUCAUUUCAGGUUCACAUACGUUUGAGGAACUUUGUUGAUUUCAGAAUUAUUUGAGUUGCAGAACUGUAAAGACGUGUCCAAAAUUUGGCGAUGGACGGAGACCUUCCCACGCUGGGAUUGAGCUCAUAUUUUGACACAAGAUAUAUAUUUGAGUUACCUUUCCUAUUCCAUCGGUUUGAGGUCCAUCUGAAGGUUAAAUAUAGAGUUAUGAUCAUUUCACUGAAGAAUGGUAUGUCAAACUCGCGAGAGGAAACUGUCGAAGAAAUGAAGGAGUGUCGAUCAAUAAUGACCCUUUGGUGUCGAUCGACACUGAUGAAAGUAGAUGGCCGAGUCUAUUUCAAGACCGACUGAGACCCAGAAGUCACCACAAAUUAACAGGAUGCCUUUGGCCAACUCAAAAUUCUAUUUAUGUGUUUUAUUAGUUGUUGUUUAGGGUAUUCUUUCUUUUAUGAUUUAUAUUAUUUUAUUUUAGGUUUUCUCUUAGGUUAAAAAAAUAUAAAAGAAUUCCUUCAGAAUCUUCUUGGAACUCCUUUGGUUUUUGUAUUGAUUUCUAUUUUAUAUAUUGGAUUGAUCGAUGGAUGUCGAGAAGGAUGCCAAUGACAAUCUAUAAUGCCCUGCCCUACAUGUUUCUUAGAUGGUUUUUUUUGCAGUGUAUUAUAAAACUGUUUUGCAUGUUAAGUUCUUCCCUGCUAUUAUCAGAAAUUACAGUUUCAUAAAAAUACAUUUGUAACCAUAUCAUAAUAUAAAUUUCUCUGAUGCUCAUCAUACACAUCACCCACAUUAUUUCCAAAUAUAUAAUGUACUUGGUCCUCGUAAUAAAUAGCAUUGCACUAUAAGUUGGUUUUUCGAACUGUUUUGUUCACAAAAGUAGGCACGUUUUUACCACCAAAUAAAAUAAUGCCAAAACGUGUAUCUAUCUAUAUUAUUAAAAUUAAUAUAAUUUUGGUAUUGUUUGGAAACAUGGAUAACAUAAUAAAUGAGAAUUGUUUGGAGACACAUGUAGUAGAUUAAAUAUUUAUUUUUAUUUACACAUUUAGUCAAUGUAUUUAUAAUAAAUUAAAUACUUCAGUUUUGUAUUUCGUUUUUAUUUACACAUUUCAUCACUGUAUUUAAAAUCAAUUUAAAUUAAUUAAUUACAAUUUUGUCGUUUCUUUGUGGUGAAAAUAAAAACUAAAACUAAAAUAUAUAGUAUAUAUAUUAUGUAAAACAAUUUUUAAAUAUAGUAUUACUUUAUUUAGUUUAGUCAAAUAUAAAAAAAAUUGAGAAUUCAGUUUUCAAAAGAACAAAAUAUCAUAAAAUCUAUAAUAAUAAAGUUGGGUAUGCUCUUUCCUCGUUAAGCCACAUCAGCACGCAGGGGUGGGCAAAUAAUAUGUUACCGGUGAUGUGUGUCUAUGCCGCAUAUAAAAAAAAGUAUUUCUGGUUUUCAUGGAAUUACGGUGACGUGAGCAAUUUGGUGUUUCGAAAAGCAUGGAACAAGACACAGAUGUGAUCCACAAUGAAAGGAGUAACGAAUGGAGAUUUUUCUUUGAUAAUUUAUGAUUUUUGUUGGUAUGCGAUCUGACUUUCUCUCCAUGUAGAUUGAUCGUUGUUUCACCGCUUCAAGUGAGUCGAAGCAUAGAUUUGAAAAAAAAUUCAUUGACGUACGGGAUGGAGUCUAUCACUUGGGCAGGAAAGGAUUAUCUUGGUCUUUUUAAUACUAGGAGAAAAAAGAGUGAGCUUUGCUUCGUAUGGAGUUUGAUCUUCAGCCGUGUGAUACUUCUUGUUGGGGCAAUAGUGGAUUUGUUGGAAGUGGAGUCUACAGCAGGAAAACAAAUAUUUUUGUCAGAUCGCUUUUCCUAAGUGCAAGGUUCAUCCAUUUUUCUCUUGUGGGAUCAUUGUCACGUGGGAUGUGGAGGAGUCUGAGUUUGUGUAUCAAAUAUUAGAUCAUAGUUUAUCUUCCAUCCUUACAUGUUUAUGAUACACGCUAUGGUAUCACAUACAAAAGAAAUAAGAUUCAAAAGUAAUAUUUCCUUAAAGCAUUAAGAAUAGAGUUUUGGUAUUUUUCCUUUUAAGAUACUUUAAGCAGUUUUUCAAAUAUUCGUAGGGUUAUGAUUUGUAUAACCCUAUAUAAAAAGAGAUCUAAUCUUAUUAUACAAAGCUUAGUUUUUCAAAGUUGUUAAUUAACAUGACGAUGACACAUGACAAUUAAAAAUUUAAGAUGAUGAUAUGUGUUAAAAUUUAUCAUAUUUAAUAAUAUAAAUAUAAUAAGAUAAUAACACAAAAGAAUUAUUUAAUCGUAGUUUUCCUUUUUAAAUACUAAACAAAGAUAAUAAUAGCAAAAGAUUAUUUGAUGGUUUUUACUUGACAAUAAUUUCCUUUUUCUAAUUUUUUUUUUCCUUUUUACAAUUCCUAAACAAAAAAUAUGUAUAAUAAUUUACUUAAUAGUAAUUUUUCGUUUUGUAAAAUCGUUUUUUAAAAUACUAAAUAAAGAUAACAUCAAAAGAUUAUUUGAUAGUUUUUUUUAGUUGACAAUAAUUUCAUUUUUAUAUUUUUUUUCCUUUUUACAAUUCCUAAAAAAAAUAUGUAUAAUAAUUUACUUAAUACUAAUUUUCGUUUUCUAAAAUAAAAAAAUAUAAAUUUGAAAAUUUGUUUGAUAGUAAUUAUCCCUUUAUAAAAUUUUCUACAAAAUGAAAUUGGUUAAAAAGUGUUUAAUUGUAGUUUUCUCUUUUUUUCAAAUCUAAAAAAAUGUAAAAUAAGUAUUUCAAAUAUUUUCAUAUAAUAAUAGACUCUAUUAUUUAAAUACUAAAUUUAUGUUUAAGAAAACAUAAUCCAAAAAGGAUUACAUUAUUUUUUUGUAACUGAAAGGAUUACAAUUAUUCACAUCUAUAUAUAAGAUUAAACUCUCCUAUAUUUUGUGACCAAACAUAAUUGCUUAAUAUAUCAUAAUUAAUCAUAUAAAUAUAAUAAGAUAAUAACACAAAAAUUCUUUAAUAGUAAUUUUCCUUUUUAAAAUCCUAAACAAAGAUAAUAGCAAAACAUAAUUUGAUAGUUUUUAGUUGACAAUAAUUUCCAUUUUCUGAUUUUUUCUUUUUUACAAUUCUUAAAAAAUGUAUAGUAAUUUACUUAAUAAUAAUUUUCGUUUUCUAAAAUCAUAAAGAAAAUAUAAUUGUAAAAAUUUGUUUGAUAGUAAUUAUCCUUUUAUAAAAUCUUCUACAAAAAAAAUUGUUAAAGACUGUUUAAUUGUAGUUUUCUUUUUUCUUCAAAUCUAAACAAAAAAUGUAAAACAAGUAUUUCAAAUAUUUCCAUAUAAUAAUAAACUUUCUUAUUUAAAUAGUAAAUUUUAUGUUUAAGAAAUCAUAAUCCAAAAAGGAUUACAAUAUUCUUUUCUUUUUUUUUGUAACUGAAGGGAUUAGAAUAAUUCACAUCUAUAUAUAAGAUAAAACUCUACUAUAUUUUGUCACCAAACAUAAUUGAUUAAAAUCAGAACUCUCUCAUAUAAGAAAAACAUUAGGUGCACUUUUUUUUGAUAUAACUUUAUAAUUAUCAUAAAAUAUGAUGUUGUUGUGCGUAAGUUAUUGACACAAUUAUGUGUGUUAGUUCUUAUAGUCGAUAUAAAAUUGGUUAUUUUGUCAUAGUAAGUCAAUGUCAACAUCAAUUUAUUAUGUUACGUCAGUAACGAUUGAUCAAUUCAGUAUAAACGGUUUAUUAUGGUUAUGUGAGUUAGAUAAUAAUUUUAAAUACUUGAACAAGAAGAAAAGGAGAUGAAGAUACAUGUAUCAAUAUUUGUUAUUUAUAUUUAUUUAUGACAAAUACAUAGUAUUAUUAUAAAUAUUAUUCGAGUUUUAAUGUAUAUAAAAAAUCAGUUAGCGCAGUCAAUCCGACACAUGCAUCCGUAAUUUAUUCUAAGGCAUUUACUUAUCAGUGCUUUUUUCUUUUUGAGACAUAAGGCUUCACAGCUAUCGGGAGUACAUCUUGGAGGGUUGGGAUUUUUUGAUGAUGGUAUAGGUGUUAAAGUUGUGAAACACCACCUAUUUUCUCCUGUCCGAGCAAUAGCCCUUUCUCC